RNAcentral lists this ribosomal RNA (465 nucleotides) under uncultured bacterium. Its description in RNAcentral is "partial 16S ribosomal RNA". It matches the Rfam family "Bacterial small subunit ribosomal RNA", at positions 28 to 507 of the family's 1533-position model. The record is from RNAcentral.
GACGAACGCUGGCGGCGUGCUUAACACAUGCGAGUCGUACGGUAAGGCCCUUUCGGGGGUCCACGAGUGGCGAACGGGUGAGUAACACGUGAGUAACCUGCCCACAACUUUGGGAUAACGCUAGGAAACUGGUGCUAAUACUGGAUAUGUGCUCCUGCUGCAUGGUGGGGGUUGGAAAGCUCCGGCGGUUGUGGAUGGACUCGCGGCCUAUCAGCUUGUUGGUGGGGUAGUGGCCUACCAAGGCGGCGACGGGUAGCCGGCCUGAGAGGGUGACCGGCCACAUUGGGACUGAGAUACGGCCCAGACUCCUACGGGAGGCAGCAGUGGGGAAUAUUGCACAAUGGGCGCAAGCCUGAUGCAGCAACGCCGCGUGCGGGAUGACGGGCUUCGGGUUGUAAACCGCUUUCAGCAGGGACGAAGCUUUUUGUGACGGUACCUGCAGAAGAAGCACCGGCUAACUACGUG